AGAGUUUGAUCCUGGCUCAGAACGUACGCUGGCGGCACGCCUAACACAUGCAAGUCGAACGAAGUAGCAAUACUUAGUGGCAGACGGGUGAGUAACAUGUAGGUAUCUACCCUAUGGCCUGGAAUAACACGAGGAAACUUGUGCUAAUACCGGAUAAGUCUUUACGGAGAAAGCUUUAUGCACCAUUGGAUGAGCCUGCACUUGAUUAGUUUGUUGGUGGGGUAAUGGCCUACCAAGACUUUGAUCAAUAGCUGAUUUGAGAGGAUGAUCAGCCACAUUGGGACUGAGACACGGCCCAAACUCCUACGGGAGGCAGCAGUGGGGAAUCUUGCACAAUGGAGGAAACUCUGAUGCAGCGAUGCCGCGUGAGUGAAGAAGGCCUUUGGGUUGUAAAGCUCUUUCGUCGGGGAAGAAAAUGACUGUACCCGAAUAAGAAGGUCCGGCUAACUUCGUGCCAGCAGCCGCGGUAAUACGAAGGGACCUAGCGUAGUUCGGAAUUACUGGGCUUAAAGAGUUCGUAGGUGGUUGAAAAAGUUGGUGGUGAAAUCCCAGAGCUUAACUCUGGAACUGCCAUCAAAACUUUUCAGCUAGAGUUUGAUAGAGGAAAGCAGAAUUUCUAGUGUAGAGGUGAAAUUCGUAGAUAUUAGAAAGAAUACCAAUUGCGAAGGCAGCUUUCUGGAUCAUUACUGACACUGAGGAACGAAAGCAUGGGUAGCGAAGAGGAUUAGAUACCCUCGUAGUCCAUGCCGUAAACGAUGUGUGUUAGACGUUGGAAAUUUAUUUUCAGUGUCGCAGCGAAAGCGAUAAACACACCGCCUGGGGAGUACGACCGCAAGGUUAAAACUCAAAUGAAUUGACGGGGACCCGCACAAGUAGUGGAGCAUGUGGUUUAAUUCGAAGAUACGCGCAGAACCUUACCAACACUUGACAUGUUCGUCGCGACUUUAAGAGAUUAAAGUUUUCGGUUCGGCCGGACGAAACACAGGUGCUGCAUGGCUGUCGUCAGCUCGUGUCGUGAG
This 1019-nucleotide ribosomal RNA is filed under the name uncultured Alphaproteobacteria bacterium. RNAcentral's name for it is "bacterial SSU rRNA". It matches the Rfam family "Bacterial small subunit ribosomal RNA", at positions 8 to 1071 of the family's 1533-position model. Lineage: Bacteria; Pseudomonadati; Pseudomonadota; Alphaproteobacteria. The record is from RNAcentral.